Molecule: long non-coding RNA, 183 nt
Organism: Nanorana parkeri
Lineage: Eukaryota; Metazoa; Chordata; Amphibia; Anura; Dicroglossidae
Exons: 3
Source: RefSeq, a predicted model, not a curated record
GUAUGGAGAAGGUCGACGUUCUUCGCGCUCUCGGGGCAGAGAUUGUCCGGACUCCCACCAACGCCCGCUUUGAUUCGCCCGAAUCCCAUGUGGGAGUGGCCUGGAGACUGAAGAACGAGAUCCCCAAUUCUCACAUCUUGGAUCAGUACCGGAACGCCAGCAAUCCUCUCGCUCACUACGACG